GGUAGAGUGUAUUCAGGGUUGAUUCCAAACAUCAUCUAUCACAGGUGACAAUGGCUCUGACCUGUUUUCUGCUUCUGGUUUCUCUUAUAGGCAGCAUCACAGCAGAUGUCAUCAAAUCAACUAAAUCAGAUGAGAAGGCAUUGGAAGGAGAAAAUGUUAUGCUGUCGUGUAACUACACUGUUUCAGCAUUUACUCUACAGUGGUAUCGCCAGUAUCCCAGAUCAGCUCCACAGUUUCUGGUGCUCACUGCUAAUACUGCUGGAGAAAAUCAGAAAUCAAAAGUACAACAGCGAAUGUCUGUGAGGGUGAAUGAAGAGAAAACUCAAGUCUCCCUGCAGAUCUCCUCUGUUCAAGUUUCUGACUCUGCACUGUACUACUGUGCUCUGGAGCCCACAGUGACACCAAACCACAGACUGACAUACAAAAACCUUACAAAGGGUUUGAGACGUACUGUACUUCUCAGUUAUAACAAAUGUGUAUCUACUUCAGCCGAGCCAGGAGUAAUCUUCCUUAGUAACAAUGACCCAGUACCCUUGCUAACACCAGACCGAUGUUCUUUUUUGGGGCUUUUUGUAUGAAUUGAUCUGGACACUGUCAGGUGAUGAUUGGUACCUGAGUUUUCAGUGAUUUUGGAAAUUCUCAUGAGUUAGAGGAUGGCCAAAUGGAUCUGCAGCGCAAAUUCAAAUGUGCUCAAUGGCAGGCUACUGUCCCUUUACUGACUUAGACAUACACAGAAAUAAUUAAAUAAAUGCAUGAAUACCUCAUCCUCAUAAUAAUAUUGUGGACAAAAAUAUACAUUUCUGGGGGGCGCUGUGGCGCAACUGGUUACAGUGCCCGUACCAUAAUCUCAUAACCACAGUCCGACCCAGGUCAUUUCCUGAUACCACCCCAUCUCUCUCUCCCACUCACUUCAUGUCACUCUCUCCACUGUCCUGUCAAAUUAUGGCAAAAGCCCCACAAAAGAAAAUGUUUGUAUAUAUAUAUACAGUUAAGAACCUGGUGACCUUCUCAAAGAAAAAGGGGCUACAUUAACAUUCUGGAGGAAAAGAUAAGGCAGUGUGCCGAGAGACUUACCCCAAUAGGUGGCAUUGGACUAUUAAACCACACAUUGAUCCAAAACAUACAGCCAAACAAAGCAAGAAAUGGUUAACAGAGAACACUAUCAACAUUU
Molecule: non-coding RNA, 1171 nt
Organism: Alosa sapidissima (American shad)
Lineage: Eukaryota; Metazoa; Chordata; Actinopteri; Clupeiformes; Clupeidae
Source: the annotation of a RefSeq genome assembly